Molecule: long non-coding RNA, 2441 nt
Organism: Oncorhynchus kisutch (coho salmon)
Lineage: Eukaryota; Metazoa; Chordata; Actinopteri; Salmoniformes; Salmonidae
Exons: 3
Source: RefSeq, a predicted model, not a curated record
AGAGAGUUAGCCUUUGGGGGACGUCGCGAUGGGGUGAGUCUGUUUAUUCCUCCUCAUGCGAUGACAUCGGUAGACCGGUCGUUUUAUCAAUAUAUUCGCCUGUAUUUAACCUCCAAAAUUUAAACACAGAAUAAUCCGCUAAUGUAGUUAUCAUACAGAACUACACAUCCUGUCGCAAGUUUUUACAUAAUCACUCAAGGUGCAGGGUGGGAGAAACCUCCACAUCACUCCAUACAAACUCUCACCGACAAGUAGCAAGUAACCUAGUAAGUAGAUAUAUGAACCUUUUACCGAGGUAAAAUUGGCUUUAUAUUGUAACGAACCUGGGUUUAUAAGCGCUUUUGUGGUACAGUCGCUAUCGCGCUAGACUUCAGCCUAGCUACACGGCACAGUCAUUUAUUUAUACGUCUCUAGUUUAACAGCAAAGAUGCCCCUUCCAAUCAUGUUCUGUUUUGGCUUUGUUGAAGUCCUUUGUCAUCCCCAGACAAGCUGAAUGGUACCAUCUCUGGCACACACUGCAGUAUUAAAAACAUAAAACAGGGUUAUGUUUAUUUACAUGUCAAUUACAGUUCUGGAAUACCCAAAUGAUGUUUCAUGUUUUUGCAAUUAGGAACAUUUACAAAUUGAAUUGGAUUUUUGUUCAUUUGCUAAAUUGUCUUUAAAUGACAUGCAUUUGACCACAACCCUGACAGAAGAACACAUAACUGUGGUGUUACUCAUCAUUGAGUAUUCAGUUAAUAUAACUCAUAUAGAAAUAAAGGCAUACAUUUGCAAAAAAACAUGUGCCCUGAUAAAAGAAAAAGUUUUCACACAUCAAUGUUGUAAUGUCACACAUUUAGCUUAUAACAGUAAACUUUUUUUUGUGGGAUACACAUAAGGGAAUUCUAGGUCUUGUAGCAUAUUUUGGUUAAACUAUCCCCAAUUCAAUGGAAUUGCAACCCUCUGCAUGAACAGUGCAUUCUUCCAUCACAUGUACAGCUGAUUCACAAGAUCUUGAGAUGCUAUUGAGCCCACACUACUACACUGUCUGAGCCAAGGACUACAUGCUUUCUGGUACUGACAGGAGGAGCGAUAUGAGUCUGUCAGAGGUCGUCACGCUGGAUGGAGACGGAGGCUUUGGUUGUCCACACAACGAAGAAACAGGUGUCCCUUCCAGUGAUGUGGAACUGACCUUGGACCUGGUACCAGUAAGGAUGGUCUUAAAAGCAGCGACCAUCCGGUGAGGCGCCCAGGAUCCCAGACCCAGUGACCCAAAGCCCUGACUCCUGCACAUCCAUCCCAGUAGCCAUUUUGAAUGCCUUGAUGCCCUCCUCUUCGUUAUGUGCCCCACUUUACAGACAACACCCCAUCCAACGACUGUGAUCUGAGAACCCUUUUUAGCAGCGACGGAGUAACGUGCUUGACCUUAACCACUGCUCCAUAAUUGCUAGCUGUCAACCCCCCUCUCCUCAUGGCGUGCCAGUUAGGAUUGGUGUGCUGUCCAACUGUUGCCUGCCAUAUAGCCUCCUGUUGCUCCUGCAUGCCCCAGGUGCCCUUGUUUUAACAAUGUCCGGUACUGACAUGGGGGGCAGCAGUUGUUCAGGCUCAAGUUUCUCAGCCACUGAAGAUCCUCCUCUGUGGGCUCUCAGGACAGAGGGUUGUAGUCUUCAGCCGGGUACAGGUCCUCCUCUGUGGGCUCUCAGGACAGAUGGUUGUAGUCUUCAGCCGGGUACAGAUCCUCCUCUGUGGGCUCUCAGGACAGAGGGUUGUAGUCUUCAGCCGGGUACAGGUCCUCCUCUGUGGGCUCUCAGGACAGAGGGUUGUAGACUUCAGCCGGGUACAGAUCCUCCUCUGUGGGCUCUCAGGACAGAGGGUUGUUGUCUUCAGCCGAUCAGAUCCUCCACUGACUGUACCUGAUUGGGCACUGCUCGCUUCCUCCACUCGCAUUCCACAUCCAUACGGCCCUUAUUGUGAACAGCCAAAAUAGGCUGCAGGCUACGCUUAUGAGCUCCAUGGAGACAUUCGCAUGUGGUAGAGAAUCCCCUUAACAUCCUUCCUCUCUAGGUGACAAGUGCCACAAGCUUAUUAAUGCAUGACUUUGAACACCUUGUGCUAUUUAAAUCAAGUUAAGUUAAAGUUAGUAAAGUAAAAUUUUAUUGACAUUACAGCUAUAGAAUAUUUAACUAAUUUUCACAUGAGGACAUGUGAAGUUUUUCCAUAAAAUCACAAGUUAUAAAUUAAAAGUUUAUCAGUUGACAUGUCAAUCAAAUAGUGGGAAGGAUCCUAUAAAUCAAGACUGUAUAACUGGAUGUACCACUCUGAAUAAAUAAAUACUGUGAAUAAAUAAAUACUGUGAAUAAAUGAAUACUGUGAAUGAAUAAAUACUGUGAAUAAAUGAAUACUGUGAAUAAAUAAAUACUGUGAAUAAAUAAAUACCCUGAAUAAAAAAAGACACUGAAUAC